RNAcentral lists this long non-coding RNA (241 nucleotides) under Ananas comosus (pineapple). RNAcentral's name for it is "long non-coding RNA (ACOM_LNC043445)". The record is from RNAcentral. Lineage: Eukaryota; Viridiplantae; Streptophyta; Magnoliopsida; Poales; Bromeliaceae.
CACAAUGCUUUUAAGGUUUUACCUUAUCUUGAACAAUAUGUCCUCGGUGCCAAUCAUGUCACUAGAGUCAAUGUCACCUUUAUUUACUAUGGAUCAAGUCUUUUCUCACUUUCACAUACAUAUAGGGUUGUUCAUUUUCUCGUUCUCAUGGCUCUACAAUAUAUUUGCAAUGUUCAUAAGCAGAUAAUUGAUACAAUCAACAUUUAUCUCAUUACCCUACAUGCAUGAAUACAACAUUAUC